GAUGAACGCUGGCGGCGUGCCUAAUACAUGCAAGUCGAGCGAACAGACGAGGAGCUUGCUCCUCUGACGUUAGCGGCGGACGGGUGAGUAACACGUGGAUAACCUACCUAUAAGACUGGGAUAACUUCGGGAAACCGGAGCUAAUACCGGAUAAUAUAUUGAACCGCAUGGUUCAAUAGUGAAAGACGGUUUUGCUGUCACUUAUAGAUGGAUCCGCGCCGCAUUAGCUAGUUGGUAAGGUAACGGCUUACCAAGGCAACGAUGCGUAGCCGACCUGAGAGGGUGAUCGGCCACACUGGAACUGAGACACGGUCCAGACUCCUACGGGAGGCAGUAGUAGGGAAUCUUCCGCAAUGGGCGAAAGCUUGACGGAGCAACGCCGCGUGAGUGAUGAAGGUCUUCGGAUCGUAAAACUCUGUUAUUAGGGAAGAACAAAUGUGUAAGUAACUAUGCACGUCUUGACGGUACCUAGUCAGAAAGCCACGGCUAACUACGUG
This 497-nucleotide ribosomal RNA is filed under the name uncultured bacterium. RNAcentral describes it as "partial 16S ribosomal RNA". It matches the Rfam family "Bacterial small subunit ribosomal RNA", at positions 28 to 507 of the family's 1533-position model. The record is from RNAcentral.